This 640-nucleotide ribosomal RNA is filed under the name Bathyporeia sarsi. RNAcentral describes it as "SSU rRNA". It matches the Rfam family "Eukaryotic small subunit ribosomal RNA", at positions 638 to 1119 of the family's 1831-position model. The record is from RNAcentral. Lineage: Eukaryota; Metazoa; Arthropoda; Malacostraca; Amphipoda; Pontoporeiidae.
AUGUCAGUAUCGAGCGCAGGUCAGGUGGACGUUGGGGUGUGAGAGCUAAAGGUUCUGAUCUUGGUUCAGGCUUGCUUGUUCCUCGUGAAGUUCCUUCUCACAAACUCCCGUCCGUGACAAGCCUCCUCGCUUGCGUACAUAUCGGAAUCGGAUCAUGGAGUGUGCGCAGUGGUGUCCCUUGGGGCAUUGCUCGCACGUUAAGCUCCUUCGGUUUUAUGGUCACCUUGAGUAAAUCAGAGUGCUCAAAGCAGUCGUAGGGGCCUUGCGCCCUGUGAACAGUCUUGACGGACUGACUUGGUUUUGCAUGGCAUGUCGGAAGACGACGUCGUGUGCUGGCUCAGAGUAAUCAGUGGUAAAAGCCAGCCUCGACGUACUGAUUAAGAGGGACGGUCGAGGGCAUUGGUAUUGCGAGGCGAGAGGUGAAAUUCUAUGACCCCCGCAAGACCUCCUGAAGCGAAAGCGUCUGCCAAGGACGUUUUCAUUAAUCAUGAACCAAAGUUAGAGGAUCGAAGGCGAUCAGAUACCGCCCUAGUUCUAACCCUAAACGAUGCCAACCAUCAAUCCGCGCGUAGCACCCUUCUUAACGGGCUCGGCGGGCAGCUCCCCACUCACGGGAAACCAGAGUCUCUGGGUUCCGGGG